UUUUUAGAAUAAAUAUGCCCCACGCAGUAUUUGGGACAUACUUAUGCUAAAA
This 52-nucleotide microRNA precursor is filed under the name Equus caballus (horse). Its description in RNAcentral is "mir-1302 microRNA precursor family". It matches the Rfam family "mir-1302 microRNA precursor family". Lineage: Eukaryota; Metazoa; Chordata; Mammalia; Perissodactyla; Equidae. The record is from Rfam by way of RNAcentral.